This 253-nucleotide ribosomal RNA is filed under the name Bacteroides cellulosilyticus DSM 14838. RNAcentral describes it as "partial 16S ribosomal RNA". It matches the Rfam family "Bacterial small subunit ribosomal RNA", at positions 524 to 776 of the family's 1533-position model. The record is from RNAcentral. Lineage: Bacteria; Pseudomonadati; Bacteroidota; Bacteroidia; Bacteroidales; Bacteroidaceae.
UACGGAGGAUCCGAGCGUUAUCCGGAUUUAUUGGGUUUAAAGGGAGCGUAGGCGGACUAUUAAGUCAGCUGUGAAAGUUUGCGGCUUAACCGUAAAAUUGCAGUUGAUACUGGUCGUCUUGAGUGCAGUAGAGGUAGGCGGAAUUCGUGGUGUAGCGGUGAAAUGCUUAGAUAUCACGAAGAACUCCGAUUGCGAAGGCAGCUUACUGGACUGUAACUGACGCUGAUGCUCGAAAGUGUGGGUAUCAAACAGG